This 803-nucleotide ribosomal RNA is filed under the name uncultured bacterium. Its description in RNAcentral is "bacterial SSU rRNA". It matches the Rfam family "Bacterial small subunit ribosomal RNA", at positions 8 to 812 of the family's 1533-position model. The record is from RNAcentral.
AGAGUUUGAUCCUGGCUCAGGAUGAACGCUGGCGGCGUGCUUAACACAUGCAAGUCGAACGGGAAACCUUUUAUUGAAGCUUCGGCAGAUUUAGAUUGUUUCUAGUGGCGGACGGGUGAGUAACGCGUGGGUAACCUGCCUUAUACAGGGGGAUAACAGUCAGAAAUGGCUGCUAAUACCGCAUAAGCGCACAGAGCUGCAUGGCUCAGUGUGAAAAACUCCGGUGGUAUAAGAUGGACCCGCGUUGGAUUAGCUGGUUGGCGGGGUAACGGCCCACCAAGGCGACGAUCAGUAGCCGACCUGAGAGGGUGACCGGCCACAUUGGGACUGAGACACGGCCCAGACCCCUACGGGAGGCAGCAGUGGGGAAUAUUGCACAAUGGAGGAAACUCUGAUGCAGCGACGCCGCGUGAGUGAAGAAGUAGUUCGCUAUGUAAAGCUCUAUCAGCAGGGAAGAUAGUGACGGUACCUGACUAAGAAGCUCCGGCUAAAUACGUGCCAGCAGCCGCGGUAAUACGUAUGGAGCAAGCGUUAUCCGGAUUUACUGGGUGUAAAGGGAGUGUAGGUGGCCAGGCAAGUCAGAAGUGAAAGCCCGGGGCUCAACCCCGGGACUGCUUUUGAAACUGCAGGGCUAGAGUGCAGGAGGGGCAAGUGGAAUUCCUAGUGUAGCGGUGAAAUGCGUAGAUAUUAGGAGGAACACCAGUGGCGAAGGCGGCUUGCUGGACUGUAACUGACACUGAGGCUCGAAAGCGUGGGGAGCAAACAGGAUUAGAUACCCUGGUAGUCCACGCCGUAAACGAUGA